GACGAACGCUGGCGGCGUGCCUAAUACAUGCAAGUAGAACGCUGAAGGAGGAGCUUGCUUCUCUGGAUGAGUUGCGAACGGGUGAGUAACGCGUAGGUAACCUGCCUGGUAGCGGGGGAUAACUAUUGGAAACGAUAGCUAAUACCGCAUAAUAGCAGUUGUUGCAUGAUAACUGUUUGAAAGGUGCAAUUGCACCACUACCAGAUGGACCUGCGUUGUAUUAGCUAGUUGGUGGGGUAACGGCUCACCAAGGCGACGAUACAUAGCCGACCUGAGAGGGUGAUCGGCCACACUGGGACUGGGACACGGCCCAGACUCCUACGGGAGGCAGCAGUAGGGAAUCUUCGGCAAUGGACGGAAGUCUGACCGAGCAACGCCGCGUGAGUGAAGAAGGGUUUCUGAUCGUAAAGCUCUGUUGUAAGAGAAGAACGAGUGUGAGAGUGGAAAGUUCACACUGUGACGGUAUCUUACCAGAAAGGGACGGCUAACUACGUG
RNAcentral lists this ribosomal RNA (495 nucleotides) under uncultured bacterium. Its description in RNAcentral is "partial 16S ribosomal RNA". It matches the Rfam family "Bacterial small subunit ribosomal RNA", at positions 28 to 507 of the family's 1533-position model. The record is from RNAcentral.